GCCGAUGUAGCUCAGUUGGUAGAGCAGCGCUUUCGUAAAGCGAAGGUCGCCGGUUCGAUUCCGGCCAUCGGCUCCA
RNAcentral lists this transfer RNA (76 nucleotides) under Candidatus Peregrinibacteria bacterium CG1_02_41_10. Its description in RNAcentral is "tRNA-Thr". It matches the Rfam family "tRNA". Rfam says of the family: Transfer RNA (tRNA) molecules are approximately 80 nucleotides in length. Their secondary structure includes four short double-helical elements and three loops (D, anti-codon, and T loops). Lineage: Bacteria; Candidatus Peregrinibacteriota. The record is from RNAcentral.